Molecule: transfer RNA, 69 nt
Filed under: Garra congoensis
Lineage: Eukaryota; Metazoa; Chordata; Actinopteri; Cypriniformes; Cyprinidae
Description: tRNA-Ser
Source: RNAcentral
AAGGGGGUUAUUAGAUAAAAUAAGCUCUGCUAAUUCUUAUUUCCUGGGUUAAACUCCUUGGCCCCCUUG